AUUGAAACAGGACGGGUACAUCUGGCAUAUGUGUAGCACAAGUUGUUAGUUAGACUUUGCAAAGCAUCGGCAGUAAAAUCAUUUUCAUCCCACAAAACAUGAUAAUGAGCUGGAUGGCUUGUACCCUGUAUUCCGGCAUGACUGCAUAGAUAAAAGUCAAACUCAGUCGGAUGGCAGAUCUUAGAAUCCACAACAGUUCCAGGUAAUAUGUUGCCACUGCGAUCAACAGAGCUCUUGUCAUGGUGGUUAUUGGCAAAGAGCCUAGUAUGAUGACGUUUUUGAACCACCACAAAAGUCACAGGAGGCUGACAUGUUCAUGAAGAUAUUCCAAACCCUUGGCAGCUUCAAGUGCUAUUCUCAAUCGAGUUUCCCAAUCUAAAUUAACAGAUGUGACACUCGAAUUGUUAUUGCUGACAGGAUAAAGAUGUUCUUGCAAGCCACCAUUCUCCAUAAAUUCAUACACCAACAGCUUAUGAUUAUGAUCAGAACAGUAUCCAAGCAAUGCAAGCAAAUAUGGCGAAUGCAACCGGCUUAGCAAUUCCACCUCGACUUUAAACUCUCCUUCUCCUUGCUUUCCUGCUUGAUCCAUCAACUUAAUCNCCUCCCUUCUUCUCAUGACGACUCAUCGCGAGCAGUGUAGUAGAGAAUUGAAGAGGACGGUACAGGUUAUAGAGAGCGAUUUCUCACCGCAGCGUGUCACAACAGCGGUCAAUAUUUUGGGAGCAGGACUAAUCCAUAUACACAACACGGCUAACACAGCAUAAAGGCUUAUUUUCUUUUUUCAUCUCUUGGCUGCAUACUUCCAAGCCAACUUCACUAGAAAACACUGAAAGGUCCUUUCCCAUAUUGUCCACCGCACUUCAGAUUUUCCACCAAGCUGAGCUCAUCCUCUUGGGAGGAAAUAUCUUCAUGCGAGCUAGGAAAAUGGAUAACUGAUCCUUUCAAUUCCGGCCUACUGUCCUUUCAACGCUCCUCCAAGGAGGAGCCAACGUGGAAGUCAAGAAACGUGAAACAACGUAAGAGGUGGACAUAGAACUGCGAGCAUAGUCCACUGCGGUAUCAUAGUCCAUCUGUCUCAUUUAUGGAUGUCCCAGAAUUACUUCAAUAGUUUUGUACACAGCUGUUGAGUUUGAGGGGUGUUAUUUGGCACUAACUUCUGUAGGCCUGGAAAGGUAGCCACGUUCUUGUAUUUGACUGAAAAGUGCCUCUUCUCUCAGGAUUCAUCUUGCUAACAAGUCCUGGUAUUCCCUGAAAAUAAUGCGAAACAAACUAAAGAUUUUGCUUUUUUGCAUAUGGCAAUGAAUGGAAUGGAUGCAUGUUUUUUUUUGGAUAGGUUCAAAGGUCCGAGGUAUGGAUAAUUUCGAUCUGCUUUUUCCAAAACAGGGUUCUCCCGGGUAUGAUCUGGGCUUUGUUACAAAGGAUCCCCAGAGUCAUUGAUUCACAAGACAUGUUUGACGCUUACGGGAAAUACUUUCCGGUCGUCAACUCCAUAAGGGAAAUCUAUUCUGGUAGGUUCUCCGUACCGACCCUUACGAAGUAUCACCUCGGGAAGUCGUAACUACGCAACCACGGACUGGGUUUCUAGACAGGGUACUCAGAGUCAUUGAUUGCAAAGAUGUUUGACGCCUUACGGAAAAUACUUUCCGGUCAUCAACAUCCAUCUAGGGAAUCUAUUCUGAGCGAGGUUCCUCGUAAUCGAUCUUACGAAAGUAAUCCACCUUCGGGAAUCCAUACUACGCAACCAUCAUUUCUAGUUGGUCAAAGGUUCAAUGUUUCUAAAGGUUCUUAGAGUCAUGGACCCUUUGAAACAUCGAAAGCUUAGCGAGGUAUACACCUCGGGGCGACAAUAUUUGCAAAAGGAUAUACUCCUAAGUGAGGUUCUCGUACCGAGUCUUACGAAGUAAUUCACCUCGGAGUUCGUACUACUCACCAUCGCCUAUCUUAUGUUUUUUUCACUCUAAGACUCGGGUGUAGAAGUCUUUCCCCAAUGGUUUGCAAUCCAAAUACCCAGUACCAACCAAUGCACAAUAGAAACGCAAUAUCCAACGGAUAUAACAAUAUAACAAUAAAAUAAAACAAACACACAAUUACAAACAAACACAGGCCACACAGAAUGUCCUAAAGGCUUGAACUUCACUUAGGGAUUAUGUAUUCCCGCAGCAAGAGUCGCCAUCUGUCGUACUCAAUAUGAAAAAAUGGGGAUACGACUUCAAAGCGAAGCGCGAUCCCAACGCCGCAAUGAUGGACUUGAACAGAGUCGCCACCGAACUUUAAUUAUUCCUAAAAAGGAAAGGGGAAUAUCGAUAAACCCAAGACACAAAACGACAAUGAAUUAAUUGGUCGUCGCAACCAAAUCAGAGGUUCGGAAGUUCGAUUACGCAAGGGGGAAGGUAUUUAGCAGCCUCACGUCCGUUGUAACUCAAACGGGAAACCAUUAGGUCAGUUGUGUGCAUUAAUAUUAGUUUGGAAAUGUUUAGGGGCUUUUCAAUUUAUUAUGUGGGAAAAGAAAGAAUAAGAAAGGGAAAUGUUUUUGGAUUUUUUUGACAAAGGACAUAAACGCUAAGUUUUUUAUUAGUGGCCUGACCAAAGAUUUACAAAUCCUGCUCCUAAACGUAAUCUCAGUAGAGAAAUGCAAGGCUUACGUAGUUCUGGGUAGAAAAAUGUUUUUGUUUGUUGGUCGAUUUUAGUGAAAGCUAUACUGUAUUAAAUCGACGAAACAUUCUUUUACCACAAAACAUAUGAAGGACGUGGACGCAUACACACAUGCGAACGGAUUAUACAUCCUACAUUCGGAAAAGCGUCACUUAUCUGCUCCGACUCAACAAUCGUGGCCGAAACAUUGUUUUGUAUCACUUAAGCAAGAUACCUUUCCGGUUUAUGAAAAGGUUUUUUGAUUAGUUGCACGGCAGGCGAGAAAAAGAGUUUGAUUGGCUUGAUGUUAUUUUGAGUGAUGGCGAGAACUUGGAUGAAGCGUAGAAUAUACAUCCGAAUCCUAGCCUCAGGAGUGCACCGGUAUACACAAUGUUCCAAUUUCCAUCUUUAUGAAAGAAGUUUAAAGAUAGGAAUUAAGUAUUUUGGAAUUUGAUUGAGAAAGGGUUUGAAAGAAACCGCAUGACAAUUUUAGAGCGAUGGCGAGAACUUGAUUGAGCGAGAUAUCACCAUCUCGAAUCCUAGCCUCAGGAGUACAUGGUAUUCACCAUGUUCCAUUUCCACCCAUAUUGAGCAAAGUGUAAAAAAGAAUUAAAUUAUUUUGAGUUUUGUUGUGAAAAAUGGACUUGACCAUAGAUCAAGUAUUGAUGGACGUUCAAGAGAAAUUGAAUGAGUGUUUAGAAGAAAAAGGAGUGAUAAAUUUGGAUGAUGCCGAGAGCUAGGAAUUGGGCGAGAUAGUAACAUCUCGAAUCCUAGUCCAGGAGUGGCGCGUAUACGACCACCACGUUCCACUUCCAUCUUUAUUGAAGGUGUUUAGAAUAUGAAUUAAGUAUAUUUUUGAGUUUAUUAUGAAAAUGGGCUUGACGUUGAAUCAAGCGUUUGUUUUAUGAAAGUUUGAAAGAAUGGAAAAGAAAUGGAGAGACGAAACGGAAUUGAGUUUGUUUAUUGAGAAAAUACUCGAUGUUGGAUGCGAUGUCAGUAUUUUUGUAUUUUUUGGAAUCGGUUGAUUUUAUUCUUAGUGUUAGUAAAUCUAACUAAACAGUCAAUACCAAAUAAGAAAUGAAAAACAGUAAAGAUUAAUUACACAAUCGGGGGAGUGGCGGUACAUUUUGUCCAAAUGGAGAUUCAAAGUCAUGAAAUAAUUUUAAAAGCCGGGCCCAAACAACAAAUGAAUGGCAAAGUAUUGAGUGUAAGUGGCAAGAGAACCGGCUCAUUUGUAGGAAAGCCCAGAGUAAGCUAUGUGAGGUUGGAUGGCGAUGCUUAAAAGCAAUCGACUUACAUAGGGUGGGUGGAAAUGGGCUCGACGUUAAAUCGGGAGAAAGUGUGAUUUUUAAUAAGUUUAAUGGUUUUUGAAAUGGAUGGAAUUGAAUUAAAAGAAACAACUGUGCUAUUAAACAAUAAUGAAAACUAUGAGCAUAAAUAAAAAACAUAAACUAUGGAAAAAAUGAUGCUUAAAAGAAAAUAAAAUGCCAUAUGUGGUAUCAAACCCAACUCCACUAAAGACUAGAAACUACCCUCUCUCCACUAGACAAUUAUGAUUCAGUUAUUAUUUAAACAAACACUUGGUAUAUAAACCAGAACAGAUUGAAUAAAGUUUUUUAAAAUAAUAAAAAUAAAUAACUAAAAAUGAUACUCUGUUGGUUUUCCAAGAGAAACUUAAUUGGGAAGACCAACAUGAAUAUUGCUACAUUAUCCAUAAACCAAAGUUAAUUGACACUAAGGGAAACCUAAAUGGUCACUAAUGGAUUUAAAAGUCUGCUUAAUAAUGUUUAAUUAAGAGCAAAUAAUUAAAAAAAAAAAAAUUAAAAGGAGACACAAACGAAUUCCCAGAACUCAUCGUCCUCACACCUCUACGAACGAAGUCUCUCUUCUUCAAUCUCAAAACCUCCGCGUCCCAACCUUCACUCUCACAAAUCAUCUGCUCUCCUCCUGCACCUCAGUUGUCAUCCUCCCAAUCUAAGCGCAAAAAGAUAAAGAAACCAUGGUUCCAAGAGAAAUGUUGGACAGGACGGCUCACCUUUGAGGUGACGCGAGCUCAGGUGAAUCCUUGAAUCUAUCCCUCACCCUCUUCAAAAAAUGGUUUUGCUUUGAUUUGGGAUUAGGUUUUUGUAGUAUCUUUUUUCUGCUCUCAUUUUCGUCCUCGUGUCUCACUGAUUCCUUCCCUAUUUACUUUUACGAAUUAGGGUUUCAAGAUUGGCAUAUGGAGUUCAAAAGAGUAUCCUGCAAAAAUCUUUUUUGGGUUGUCAGGUUUCGGUCCCCCUACUUGAUGUUGGAUUUGGAACAGGUAUAGCUGAGCAUGUGCUUUCUUCUUCAUUUUUGUCUUAACUCUGUUUUGGGUAAUUUCUGAAAUUUCACUGCUUUGUUAAUUGCUCUAUUAACUGCAGUGAAAAAAAUUGAAGAUUCAAAGGCGGUUCGUUUUUGAUCACAUCUUUGGAUUGCUAUGGUUUGGGUUAAGCAGUCACGGUUAACAUGAAUUAUGGCGGUAUGAUCGUUAUGGACCAGGGGCAUAAUUGAAAACAGGACGGUACAUCUGGCAUAAUGUGUAGCACAAGUUGUUAGUUAGACUUUGCAAAGCAUGGCAGUAAAAUCAUUUUCAUCCCACAAAACAUGAUAAUGAGCUGGAUGGCUUGUACCUGUAUUCCGGCAUGACUGCAUAGAUAAAAGUCAACUCAGUCGGAUGGCAGAUCUUAGAAUCCACAACAGUUCCAGGUAAUAUGUUGCCACU
Molecule: long non-coding RNA, 5374 nt
Filed under: Lathyrus oleraceus (garden pea)
Lineage: Eukaryota; Viridiplantae; Streptophyta; Magnoliopsida; Fabales; Fabaceae
Description: Pisum sativum (pea) long non-coding RNA (PSAT_LNC033607)
Source: RNAcentral